UCCUGUAAGCAGCAGAAUGUUGGGUCCUGUUUGUGUAGCCAGUCUGUUAGUCUAUGUCUUUUUAUUGGGGAGUUGAGACCAUUUAUAUUAAGAGAUAUUAAGGAAAAGUAAUUGUUGCUUCCUGUUAUUUUUGUUGUUAAAGUUGGCAUUCUGUUCUUGUGCCUGUCUUCUUUUAGUUUUGUUGAGGGAUUAUCUUCUUGUUUUUUUCUAGGGCGUGGUUCCCGUCCUUGUAUUGGUUUUUUUCUGUUAUUAUCCUUUGAAGGGCUGGAUUCGUGGAGAGAUAAUGGGAGAAUUUAGUUUUGUUGUGGAAUACUUUGGUUUCUCCAUCUAUGGUAAUUGAGAGUUUGGCUGGGUAUAGUAGCCUGGGCUGGAAUUUGUGUUCUCUUAGUGUCUGCAUAACAUCUGUCCAGGCACUUCUUGCUUUCAUAGUCUCUGGUGAAAAAUCUGGUGUAAUUCUGAUAGGCUUGCCUUUAUAUGUUACUUGACCUUUUUCCCUUAUUGCUUUUAGUAUUCUAUCUUUAUUUAGUGCAUUUGUUGUUCUGAUUAUUAUGUGUCGGAAGGAAUUUCUUUUCUGGUCUAGUCUAUUUGGAGUUCUGUAGGCUUCUUGUAUGUUCAUAGGCAUCUCUCUCUUUAGAUUUGGGAAGUUUUCUUCAAUAAUUUUGUUGAAGAUGUUUGCUGGUCCUUUGAGUUGAAAAUCUUCAUUCUCAUCCACUCCUAGUAUGCGUAGGUUUGGUCUUCUCAUUGUGUCCUGGAUUUCCUGGAUGUUUUGAGUUAGGAUCUUUUUGCAUUUUCCAUUUUCUUUGAUUGUUGUGCCGAUGUUCUCUAUGGAAUCUUCUGCACCUGAGAUUCUCUCUUCCAUCUCUUGUAUUCUGUUGCUUAUGCUGGCAUCUAUGGUUCCAGAUUUCUUUCCUAGGGUUUCUAUCUCCAGCGUUGCCUCACUUUGGGUUUUCUUUAUUGUGUCUACUUCCCUUUUUAGGUCUAGUAUGGUUUUCUUCAUUUCUAUCACCUGUUUCGAUGUGUUUUCCUGUUUUUCUAUAAGGACUUCUACCUGUUUGGUUGUGUUUUCCUGUUUUUCUUUAAGGACUUGUAACUCUUUAGCAGUGUUCUCCUCUAUUUCUUUAAGUGAAUUAUUAAAUUCCUUCUUUAUGUCCUCUGCCAUCAUCAUGAGAAAUGCUUUUAAAUCCAGGUCUACCUUUUCAGGUGUGUUAGGAUGUCCUGGACUGGGCGAAGUGGGAGUGCUGGGUUCUGAUGAUGGUGAGUGGUCUUGGUUCCUGUUAGUAGGAUUCUUACGUUUACCUUUCGCCAUCUGGCAAUCUCUGGAGUUAGUUGUUAAAGUUGUCUUUGUUUAGAGAUUGUUCCUCUGUUGCUUUUGUUACCCUCUAUCAGCAGACGUGGGAGACUAGCUCUCUCCUCUGAGUUUCAGUGGUCAGAGCAGUCUCUGCAGGCAAGCUCUCCUCUUUCAGGGAAGGUGCACAGUUAUAUGGUGUUUGGACUUCCUCCUGGCUGAAGAUGAAGGCCCAAAACAGGAUCUUUCCCAGAAACCGUGUUGCUUUGGCCAGGAAGGUUGCCGGUUGUCUGGAGCCGAAGGUGGCGCCACCUCAGAAGCUCUGUGGCUCUCGCCAGGAAGGUGGCCGGUUGUCUGCAGCCGAAGAUGGCGCCGCCUCAGAAGCUCUCUUGCUCUCGCCUUUCCCAGAAACGGCUGGCCUCUGUAUUCCACACUGUCACCCGUGCAGCCUGUCCUUCGCGGAGUCCUGGAGCCAAGGAGACUCCCGCCGCCAGGGCCUGAGGCACAAACCUCUCGGGCUGGCGGAUCCCUGUGCACUCACCAGGAAGGUGGCUGGUUGUCUGGAGCCGAAGAUUGUGCCGCCUCAUAAGCUCUGUGGCUCUCGCCAGGAAGGUGGCCGGUUGUCUGGAGCCGAAGAUGGCGCCGCCUCAGAAGCUCUGUUGCUCUCGCCAGGAAGGUGGUCAGGAGUGCAUUUUCUUGUAUAAUGAUUGAUGUGGGCCAGCCAAGUUCACUAUCUGCAAUACCACCCAUGGGCAGUAGAUGCUGGGUGCUAUGAGAAAACAGGGUGAACAAACAAAAGGAGCAAGACAUUAAGCAGCACUCCUCCAUGGUCUCUGUAUCUAGGUUCCUGCUCUGAGUUCCUGUCCUGUAUUCACUCAGUGAAGAACUAUGAUGUGGAACUAUAAGUAAAAUUUCACCUUUCCUCCAAAAUACAUUUUGGUUAUGGUGUUUGUGGUGGUUUAAAUAAGUCCCAGAGGUUCAUAGGUUUGACUACUUAGUCAUCAGGGAGUGGCAUUAAUUGGGAGAGGUUAGGAGGUGUGGCCUUGUUGGAGUAGGUGUGGCCUUGUUGGACAAAAUGUUUAAUAGGGGUAUGGGUUUCGAAGUUUCAAAAGCUUAAGUCAGGCCCAAUGGCUCUCUCCCUUCCUGCUGCCUACAGACCCAGAGAUAUAACUCUUUCUAGUACCAUGUCUGCCUGCAUGCUACCAUGCUUUGCAUCAAGCUGAAAAUGGACCAAACCUCUGAAAUCGUAAACAAACUCCAACUAAAUGAUUUCAUGGUGUUCCUUCACAGCAAUAGAACAUUGACUAAGAUAGUAUUUUAUCACAGCAAUAAAAUCUCU
RNAcentral lists this long non-coding RNA (2624 nucleotides) under Mus musculus (house mouse). Its description in RNAcentral is "long non-coding RNA chr4:74450184-74452808". The record is from RNAcentral. Lineage: Eukaryota; Metazoa; Chordata; Mammalia; Rodentia; Muridae.